This 495-nucleotide ribosomal RNA is filed under the name uncultured bacterium. Its description in RNAcentral is "bacterial SSU rRNA". It matches the Rfam family "Bacterial small subunit ribosomal RNA", at positions 43 to 507 of the family's 1533-position model. The record is from RNAcentral.
CGUGCCUAAUACAUGCAAGUCGAGCGAGCUGAAUUCAAAGAUUCCUUCGGGAUGAUUUGUUGGACGCUAGCGGCGGAUGGGUGAGUAACACGUGGGCAAUCUGCCCUAAAGACUGGGAUACCAUUUGGAAACAGGUGCUAAUACCGGAUAAUAAAGCAGAUCGCAUGAUCAGCUUUUGAAAGGUGGCGUAAGCUGUCGCUAAGGGAUGGCCCCGCGGUGCAUUAGCUAGUUGGUAAGGUAACGGCUUACCAAGGCGACGAUGCAUAGCCGAGUUGAGAGACUGAUCGGCCACAUUGGGACUGAGACACGGCCCAAACUCCUACGGGAGGCAGCAGUAGGGAAUCUUCCACAAUGGACGCAAGUCUGAUGGAGCAACGCCGCGUGAGUGAAGAAGGUUUUCGGAUCGUAAAGCUCUGUUGUUGGUGAAGAAGGAUAGAGGUAGUAACUGGCCUUUAUUUGACGGUAAUCAACCAGAAAGUCACGGCUAACUACGUG